CGUAGGGGCGAGCGUUGUCCGGAAUUACUGGGCGUAAAGGGUUCGCAGGCGGCAUGGCAAGUCCGAUGUAAAAGGCGAAGGCUCAACCUUCGUAAGCAUCGGAAACUGUCAAGCUUGAGUGAAGGAGAGGCAAGUGGAAUUCCUAGUGUAGCGGUGGAAUGCGUAGAUAUUAGGAGGAAUACCGGUGGCGAAGGCGACUUGCUGGACUUCAACUGACGCUGAGGAACGAAAGCGUGGGUAGCAAACAGGAUU
This 252-nucleotide ribosomal RNA is filed under the name uncultured bacterium. RNAcentral describes it as "partial 16S ribosomal RNA". It matches the Rfam family "Bacterial small subunit ribosomal RNA", at positions 526 to 779 of the family's 1533-position model. The record is from RNAcentral.